Molecule: long non-coding RNA, 432 nt
Filed under: Anser brachyrhynchus (Pink-footed goose)
Lineage: Eukaryota; Metazoa; Chordata; Aves; Anseriformes; Anatidae
Description: lncRNA (ENSABRG00000004964.1)
Source: RNAcentral
UUACAAUAAAGAGCAGAGCUUCAUUACCCACUUUUAGAGGACUUGGCACAGGAAAGCACUGCAAAGAUCAAACUAGAAAGCCUACAGGGGAACGAAUCUCUCCACUGUGCUCUGGAGAAAGGAGAAGAGGCAAACCAAAUGACCACUGUAAACCUGAAGGAGUCAGAUUUUGGUGUCCUUAUUUCUUUCUUUCUGGAAUUUAGUGACAGAUACAUCUCAGGUGAGAGCUGAGGGAUAAAUGUCGGACACAAACCAUACUGCUAGUUUUAUAACUUCUUGUUGUGAGUUUUUAGUUUCAUGUCUAUGAUGAGCGCAGCUUAGUUUUUGAACAUCCAGGCAACAGGUCUUCAAUCUUCUGUUGGAUAAAAUGUCAGCAAAUGAUGACCUACAUUUUGCUAAAACUAUUUUUUUAAUUUCAUGAUGAAGUGUGGC